This is a long non-coding RNA of Saccostrea cuccullata (small rock oyster), 509 nucleotides long. RefSeq lists it as uncharacterized. The record is from RefSeq and is a predicted model, not a curated record. NCBI's taxonomy places the organism in Eukaryota, Metazoa, Mollusca, Bivalvia, Ostreida, Ostreidae. The transcript has 3 exons.
AAAAUAACUUUUUUCCGGUGUUUACAAGAAUUUGUAAUAAACGGCAAUAUUUUCAUGUUUAAAUAAAAAAGAAUUAGUGAUUUUCUCGUAUAUAAAAUAUCAUGUCUUUAAAAUAAUUCUCUUUUUAAUGUGUCGUUUGGCUGCAUUCGGCUUCAGCCAAGCGCUUGCACUCGAUGACAUGGAAUGUUGUUUACAUCUAAAAACGUGGCGACAUCAGCUGAGAUUUGCAGUGGAUUUACAUGCAUUAAGCAGGUUAUCUCUAGAGAACAUAGGGAUAACAUGUGAGACAAGGCAUCGUUUACCCCUUUAACGAGAAUAUGAGGACAAAAUAUCGGAAAAUAAUGGAAAACAUAGACAUCUGCACCAGCUCAGCUCCGUAGAUCCAGGCCAGCUGGCAAGAGCUUCAGGCUAAAAGAAUGAAUAAAUAAAAAAUACAUCAAUUUCUCCACAGGCCAGGGCCUAGCCAUUACCAAAAAAUUGGACCAAUGGAUCCAUUUAAGCAUGCAGCA